RNAcentral lists this ribosomal RNA (642 nucleotides) under Brevundimonas terrae. Its description in RNAcentral is "bacterial SSU rRNA". It matches the Rfam family "Bacterial small subunit ribosomal RNA", at positions 52 to 741 of the family's 1533-position model. Lineage: Bacteria; Pseudomonadati; Pseudomonadota; Alphaproteobacteria; Caulobacterales; Caulobacteraceae. The record is from RNAcentral.
CACAUGCAGUCGAACGGACCCUUCGGGGUUAGUGGCGGACGGGUGAGUAACACGUGGGAACGUGCCUUUAGGUUCGGAAUAGCUCCUGGAAACGGGUGGUAAUGCCGAAUGUGCCCUUCGGGGGAAAGAUUUAUCGCCUUUAGAGCGGCCCGCGUCUGAUUAGCUAGUUGGUGAGGUAAUGGCUCACCAAGGCGACGAUCAGUAGCUGGUCUGAGAGGAUGACCAGCCACACUGGGACUGAGACACGGCCCAGACUCCUACGGGAGGCAGCAGUGGGGAAUCUUGCGCAAUGGGCGAAAGCCUGACGCAGCCAUGCCGCGUGAAUGAUGAAGGUCUUAGGAUUGUAAAAUUCUUUCACCGGGGACGAUAAUGACGGUACCCGGAGAAGAAGCCCCGGCUAACUUCGUGCCAGCAGCCGCGGUAAUACGAAGGGGGCUAGCGUUGCUCGGAAUUACUGGGCGUAAAGGGCGCGUAGGCGGAUCGUUAAGUCAGAGGUGAAAUCCCGGAGCUCAACUUCGGAACUGCCUUUGAUACUGGCGAUCUUGAGUGUGAGAGAGGUAUGUGGAACUCCGAGUGUAGAGGUGAAAUUCGUAGAUAUUCGGAAGAACACCAUUGGCGAACGCGACAUACUGGCUCAUUACU